GAAAUAUAUAAAGCGCCAGAACUUAGUUAAUGAUAAAUUAAGAAUUAUGAAUGAUGAAUUAAUGUACAAAUUCUUUAAGGGAAUUUAGAAGAAUUAAAUUAUAGAAAUUCUGUAAGAAUUUCAUCCUUAAUUCAUAAUUUAGCACUCAUCAUUCAUCAUUAACUAAGUUGACGAGGAUGGGGAGUAUCGAGUUUUCGGCGGAUGCCCCACGGUAUAUGCACUACCGUUAAAGAUUGAUAAACCUAGGAAGUAAUUUCUAGAACAAAUUCAAUUGGGUGUAGAGU
Clostridium sp. CAG:221 is the source of this 284-nucleotide non-coding RNA. The record is from Rfam. Lineage: Bacteria; Bacillati; Bacillota; Clostridia; Eubacteriales; Clostridiaceae.